UGCCAGCAGCCGCGGUAAUACGGAGGGAGCUAGCGUUGUUCGGAAUUACUGGGCGUAAAGCGUGCGUAGGCGGCUUGAUAAGUAGAGGGUGAAAUCCCGGAGCUCAACUCCGGAACUGCCCCCUAAACUGUUGAGCUAGAAUCCUGGAGAGGUGAGUGGAAUUCCUAGUGUAGAGGUGAAAUUCGUAGAUAUUAGGAAGAACACCAGUGGCGAAGGCGACUCACUGGACAGGUAUUGACGCUGAGGUACGAAAGCGUGGGGAGCGAACAGGAUUAGAUA
Molecule: ribosomal RNA, 279 nt
Filed under: uncultured bacterium
Lineage: Bacteria
Description: partial 16S ribosomal RNA
Rfam family: Bacterial small subunit ribosomal RNA
Source: RNAcentral